UUAAGCUCCUGCACUUUGUUGUCUUUCUUGCUUCCACCUUAGAUGCAUUUGUGGGCAGCUCAGGCCCAUUUGUUCUUGUGCCAGUGAUAACUUUGAUUCAGUAGCUUUUGGGAUAGGGCACGUCCAUAUUUGUUGCAUCAGGAAUAUCAAGGGCCCAGCACAACUAUAAGGUGGUGGUGAAGGAUUUCUAGUGCUGGUAGCUCAGGGUCUUUCCUGGAACAAUCAUGGUGCAUCUCCUAUGAGUGACCUCAGGGCUCACAGAGGAACCAGCAGCUUUCCAGCUCAGUCAUGAACCUCUACUGUGGGCAGCAGCAGAGACAAAGAACCAUCAGCAGCCUCAGUUGUCAGCUCCUUUGCUCGGACCCUGGGCUCCAGUCUGAAUAGGAUCCUCCUGCUAAUCCAGGGAGGUGGUUUCAUCCUGCACUUCAUGGAGAAGUAAAGGAAGCAGCAGCAAGAGAACAAAAAUAACAUCACUGAGGUCUGGGCAAACAGUUGACUCUCUGGUGUCUCUAAGUUAUUUUUGUUCGAUAUAAUGCAGCAGAGGAGGUUUCCUCAGGAGACUUUAGUUUGCUCUCUACUUCAGGGUCAGUGUUUUAACAACUUAUUUUUCCUCUCAUUGGUACUUCUAUAGUAAAUAUUUCUGCUAGCAUGGCUCAGGUGAGACUGGAAUUAACAUCUGAGACUCUCAGCCUGUCAUACUGCAACAGAAUGAACAGAAUGCCAUGAACACACACUGGGCAUGGCCAUGGGAGCUUUCUUGGGUGCCUCUACACCCACUGCACAGGAGCACAUACGACAGCAAGAGGCAGGGCUGCACACCAGUAAGAGGCAAAACACCAUCAUGAAAAUCCUCCUGUAGCUGAAACCUUACCCAAGAAGCACCAAGGUGAAAAUUUACCUUCAGCUUGUGUUCCAACCCUAAAGCAAAGAGUGUGAUGUUAAGAUUGUGCCAAAGCAUCUCCCCAUAAGGAUGGCAGAUGCCAGGAUCCAGCUGAGCUCAAAGGUAUCAGUAGCUGUGCUCUCUUGCAAAACCAGGUGAGGGGACUCUGACUUCACAAUAUCUCUGCUGCCCCUUCUUGUGCUGUGACAAGGCUCUGCUCUUGUAUGGGUACAUCAACCUUGUGAGCAGCACCAUGCAUCAGACCCUCUCCAUGGGCUGGGAGAGAUGGGGCUGGUUUCUCUCCUAUGUUAAUAUCUGGACUACUGUGCUGUGCAACACAGUGAGGAGCUGCACCGCAGAGGGGCUGCUGCUCUCAUGCUGGCAGAGGCAGGGUCCACCUGCCUGCUUUGUGUCUGGGGCAGCUAGCAGUAGCAGCCUGCUUUUUUCCCUGGGACCCUGCAAUCCCUGGUCUGAUGUUCUAGAGCAAGAUGUUUGUUCAUGGUGCUCAUCCCUCUACUUUUGGGGCAGAAUAGUGGCCAGAGGUGGCUGUGGUGUCAGCCAGAACAAUAACUUUGUGUGCUUCCUGCCUGAGCCUCUGGAAAGCACUGAAGCAAGACAGAUGUGGUGCUCACUCCCUUCCCAGCACUGGCUGUGGGGGCUGUGCUGCAGCCCAGCCUGGCACAAGGAGAGCUUGUCCUACAGGAGGUGACCACUCUAGGAGCUUGCAUGCUGCAGUGGAUUAGUGUGACGGCUGAAUCAGCUUCCCAGCAGUGCUGUGCCCACCCUCCCCAGCAUCUCCCUACAGCAGGAAUGGGAGCUGAGGAUGUGCAGGACUGAAUCUGGCUGAAUAGAGCAGGGUGAGAACGUGGAAAUCAAGACCUUUAAGAUAUUUGGGGUUACAUAAGACUGACCUCAGUCAUUCACACAAAGUUGUAUGGUUUAGUUUGUUUGUUUGUUUUUAAUGGAAGUAUUAAAAAGAUGUGGAACUGAUUAGAGCAAAA
Pogoniulus pusillus (Red-fronted tinkerbird) is the source of this 1881-nucleotide long non-coding RNA. RefSeq lists it as uncharacterized. The record is from RefSeq and is a predicted model, not a curated record. NCBI's taxonomy places the organism in Eukaryota, Metazoa, Chordata, Aves, Piciformes, Lybiidae. The transcript has 3 exons.